This 289-nucleotide long non-coding RNA is filed under the name Phoenix dactylifera (date palm). Its description in RNAcentral is "long non-coding RNA (PDAC_LNC011494)". Lineage: Eukaryota; Viridiplantae; Streptophyta; Magnoliopsida; Arecales; Arecaceae. The record is from RNAcentral.
UUUGAGGCUGACAUUAUGAUCUGCAGAGAGUAAAGAUUCUAGUUAGACUUUUGUACUUGAUCCUAAUCUGUUCUAAGGUCUUUUAGAACAAAUGUAACUCCCACUAUUUUCUCGAAUUCCUCACACUCCCCUGGUAGGAAAACGAAAAUCCUACACGACUAGGGUUUCUAGUGGGUACUGCGGUUCUACCGAUUUACAUGCCACCUCACCUAACAGUUAUUGGUGACACAUAGAUUGAUGAAUGUACAACUCUUGUACAAUGCUUCUCAAGCAUGUUGCAGUGCUUCUU